Molecule: ribosomal RNA, 491 nt
Filed under: uncultured bacterium
Lineage: Bacteria
Description: partial 16S ribosomal RNA
Rfam family: Bacterial small subunit ribosomal RNA
Source: RNAcentral
GUGAACGCUGGCGGUAGGCCUAACACAUGCAAGUCGAACGGCAGCACAGUAAGAGCUUGCUCUUACGGGUGGCGAGUGGCGGACGGGUGAGGAAUACAUCGGAAUCUACUUUUUCGUGGGGGAUAACGUAGGGAAACUUACGCUAAUACCGCAUACGACCUACGGGUGAAAGCAGGGGAUCUUCGGACCUUGCGCGAUUGAAUGAGCCGAUGUCGGAUUAGCUAGUUGGCGGGGUAAAGGCCCACCAAGGCGACGAUCCGUAGCUGGUCUGAGAGGAUGAUCAGCCACACUGGAACUGAGACACGGUCCAGACUCCUACGGGAGGCAGCAGUGGGGAAUAUUGGACAAUGGGAGCAAGCCUGAUCCAGCCAUACCGCGUGGGUGAAGAAGGCCUUCGGGUUGUAAAGCCCUUUUGUUGGGAAAGAAAAGCAGCAGGUUAAUACCCCGCUGUUCUGACGGUACCCAAAGAAUAAGCACCGGCUAACUUCGUG